AGGACGAACGCUGGCGGCGUGCUUAACACAUGCAAGUCGAGCGGAAAGGCCCUUCGGGGUACUCGAGCGGCGAACGGGUGAGUAACACGUGAGUAAUCUGCCCCUAGCUCUGGGAGUAGCUCCGGGAAACCGGGAUUAAUACCGGAUACGACCACCUUAGACAUCUUUUGUGGUUGGAAAGAAUUUCGGCUAGGGGAUGAGCUCGCGGCCUAUCAGCUUGUUGGUGGGGUAACGGCCUACCAAGGCGACGACGGGUA
RNAcentral lists this ribosomal RNA (257 nucleotides) under uncultured bacterium. RNAcentral's name for it is "partial small subunit ribosomal RNA". It matches the Rfam family "Bacterial small subunit ribosomal RNA", at positions 26 to 285 of the family's 1533-position model. The record is from RNAcentral.